UACGUAGGGUGCGAGCGUUGUCCGGAAUUAUUGGGCGUAAAGGGCUCGUAGGCGGUUUGUCACGUCGGGAGUGAAAACUCGGGGCUUAACCCCGAGCCUGCUUCCGAUACGGGCUGACUAGAGGUAUGCAGGGGAGAACGGAAUUCCUGGUGUAGCGGUGAAAUGCGCAGAUAUCAGGAGGAACACCGGUGGCGAAGGCGGUUCUCUGGGCAUUACCUGACGCUGAGAAGCGAAAGCAUGGGGAGCGAACAGG
Molecule: ribosomal RNA, 253 nt
Filed under: uncultured bacterium
Lineage: Bacteria
Description: partial 16S ribosomal RNA
Rfam family: Bacterial small subunit ribosomal RNA
Source: RNAcentral